CGGCAGUCGAGAGGCUCCAGACCACACCGGGUUCACCAAGCGAGGUGGUAUGACCUCAGGCAAAGUCUGACGUACACCGACCGACCGACCGGCUGGGAGAGGAAUUAGAUGUCUUUUCCAGCCACGACAACGAAGGCAGUGGCAACAACCCGCAACAAGAAGGACUUCCAAACAUUCACAUUAACAUUGACACAUCCCGAAAGAUUCGAUGUACCGAGUUGCACUUCUUCAUUUAAGCUCCCAGCUCCGCGGACAGAUCUGUGCAUUGAGUUCUGUGAAUUUGAGGAGUCAUAGGCCCGAAUCACAAUUAUCUAUUAUCCACGCCGCCGAGCAAACCAAAUUGAACUGAACUUCCUGUGACCGUCACCUCUCAUUCCUUUCGCAGCGGAAAGGGUCUUGAGCUCAGGUGCUUCCUGCCCUGCUGUGUGGAUCAAAUAACACAGAGAAUCCACCGGUGAAAAAAGAAAAAAAGCUAACAUAUCAU
Gasterosteus aculeatus aculeatus (three-spined stickleback) is the source of this 484-nucleotide long non-coding RNA. Lineage: Eukaryota; Metazoa; Chordata; Actinopteri; Perciformes; Gasterosteidae. The record is from Ensembl.